RNAcentral lists this ribosomal RNA (462 nucleotides) under uncultured marine eukaryote. Its description in RNAcentral is "SSU rRNA". It matches the Rfam family "Eukaryotic small subunit ribosomal RNA", at positions 702 to 1164 of the family's 1831-position model. The record is from RNAcentral.
GCCCACAAUCUGCACUGGCUUUAAUUAGUCGGUGUUAGGGACUGGCUCGUUUACUUUGAGAAAAUUAGAGUGUUCAAAGCAGGCUCUUGCCUUGAAUAUGUUAGCAUGGAAUAAUAAUAUAGGACUUUGGUCCUAUUUUGUUGGUUGUUCGAGGACCGAAGUAAUGAUUGAUAGGGACAGUUGGGGGCAUCAGUAUUCUGAAGCGAGAGGUGAAAUUCUUGGACCUUCGGAAGACUAACAACUGCGAAAGCAUUUGCCUAGGAUGUUCUCUUUAAUCAAGAACGAAAGUUGGGGGAUCGAAGACGAUCAGAUACCGUCGUAGUCUCAACUAUAAACUAUGCCAGCUAGGGAUUGGUGGACGUUUUAUUACGACUCCAUCAGCACCUUAUGAGAAAUCAAAGCAUUUGGGUUCCGGGGGGAGUAUGGUCGCAAGGCUGAAACUUAAAGGAAUUGACGGGAGGG